RNAcentral lists this ribosomal RNA (465 nucleotides) under Vreelandella stevensii. RNAcentral describes it as "partial 16S ribosomal RNA". It matches the Rfam family "Bacterial small subunit ribosomal RNA", at positions 338 to 795 of the family's 1533-position model. Lineage: Bacteria; Pseudomonadati; Pseudomonadota; Gammaproteobacteria; Oceanospirillales; Halomonadaceae. The record is from RNAcentral.
CCUACGGGAGGCAGCAGUGGGGAAUAUUGGACAAUGGGCGAAAGCCUGAUCCAGCCAUGCCGCGUGUGUGAAGAAGGCCUUCGGGUUGUAAAGCACUUUCAGUGGGGAAGAAAGCCUUGGGGCUAAUACCCUCGAGGAAGGACAUCACCCACAGAAGAAGCACCGGCUAACUCCGUGCCAGCAGCCGCGGUAAUACGGAGGGUGCGAGCGUUAAUCGGAAUUACUGGGCGUAAAGCGCGCGUAGGCGGUCUGAUAAGCCGGUUGUGAAAGCCCCGGGCUCAACCUGGGAACGGCAUCCGGAACUGUCAGGCUAGAGGGCAGGAGAGGAAGGUAGAAUUCCCGGUGUAGCGGUGAAAUGCGUAGAGAUCGGGAGGAAUACCAGUGGCGAAGGCGGCCUUCUGGACUGACACUGACGCUGAGGUGCGAAAGCGUGGGUAGCAAACAGGAUUAGAUACCCCGGUAGUC